GAUGAACGCUGGCGGCGUGCCUAAUACAUGCAAGUCGAGCGAACAGAUAAGGAGCUUGCUCCUUUGACGUUAGCGGCGGACGGGUGAGUAACACGUGGGUAACCUACCUAUAAGACUGGGAUAACUUCGGGAAACCGGAGCCAAUACCGGAUAAUAUUUCGAACCGCAUGGUUCGAUAGUGGAAGAUGGUUUUGCUAUCACUUAUAGAUGGACCCGCGCCGUAUUAGCUAGUUGGUAAGGUAACGGCUUACCAAGGCGACGAUACGUAGCCGACCUGAGAGGGUGAUCGGCCACACUGGAACUGAGACACGGUCCAGACUCCUACGGGAGGCAGCAGUAGGGAAUCUUCCGCAAUGGGCGAAAGCCUGACGGAGCAACGCCGCGUGAGUGAUGAAGGUCUUCGGAUCGUAAAACUCUGUUAUUAGGGAAGAAUAUACGUGUAAGUAACUGUGCACGUCUUGACGGUACCUAAUCAGAAAGCCACGGCUAACUACGUG
This 497-nucleotide ribosomal RNA is filed under the name uncultured bacterium. RNAcentral describes it as "partial 16S ribosomal RNA". It matches the Rfam family "Bacterial small subunit ribosomal RNA", at positions 28 to 507 of the family's 1533-position model. The record is from RNAcentral.